UGUCAGAAGUGGGAUUCGAACCACGCCCACAAGAGUGGACAGCGACAUGAACGCAGCGCCUUACACUUCUCGGCCAUAAUAAC
Non-coding RNA from Araneus ventricosus, 83 nucleotides. The record is from the annotation of a GenBank genome assembly. Lineage: Eukaryota; Metazoa; Arthropoda; Arachnida; Araneae; Araneidae.